UUGCUUUCUCCAGUCAUUGCCUUCCUCAUUGAUUAGCGCCUUGCAGUCCUUACCUAUGCUUUCUCUGAAGGUUUUUUUUAAUCUUUGUAUUGUCUUCAAGACCUCUGGCACCACACAUGCAUUGCAGAUACAGCACUGAGACUCCAGCCUCCAGGUGGUACCACAGGACAAAGUAUAAAGGAACCUAUGUCUGCAGGGCACUCUCCAGCCUGACCUCUUAAAUCCAUGGAGCCAGCAGAGCCACCUGCCUCGGUUACAAUGCCACAGAUGUGGAGCAGCACUUCCUCCAGCUCCAGGGAUCACAUCAGUGUAUUCAGACUGAGAGUCAGGACGUAUAUCCCACUAUGAAAUAUUCUCCACAGAAAGGCUCUGGGACCGUGCGCUCUGCCCUGCCUGGAAAUGCCUGAAACCAGGAUAAAUCAGUGCUGCUUCAGAGUGAGGUGACCUGAGUCAACAGUAAAACAGACCUUGAGAUACAAGAUUGUGGAAAGGGGAAAGACUUUAUAUCAAUGCUGACUUUUGUGUUUUGAACAGAUUUUCAUCAGUAGAUAAGCGUUUAAACACAAAGCUAUCUGAUCAGAUUGUUCUUAUGGAGUCUGGGUUUUAACACCAUAAUUACUGUUGCACUCAGAGUUUUCCUGAAUUUCCUUCUGUUACUUUUCGUGUCACCUAUUGAAAGUGGCAAAAAACAUUUCUCCAAAACCGUGUGUGCAAUGCUUAUUAAAGGAGAAUAAUUUUAGGGAUGGUUGGUAACUGAAGCACUUUUUAUGUUUUCUAAAAAAUACUUCUUUUCUAAAAAAUGUCACGUAGUGACUUGUGAUUUUGUGACCUGAGGAUGUUUUUCUAAAGAAAAGGACGUGGGAGGGAAAAAGAGAAACUAACUGUACCAUGAUAAUUAAGGGAGAGUGUGAGAGCAAUGUGAAGACUGUUAACUCCAGGUUCCUCAAAAUAGAUUUACAAGCAGAUCAAAGAAUAAAUUUAUAUGCACAUGAAUAACAAAUGCAUUAGUCACAUUAGGGUUUAAUGAAAUGUUUGUGAAAUAGCAGCUUCAUAGCACUAUCCCUUCAAGAGUAAUUCACUAAGGUAGAGCUGAUGGCACAUCCCUGUUUUUCUUUGUCCAGUGUACAAGCUGUGCAGGAAGGGCAAUGAGGAUAGGAUGAUCAUUAUUGCUAUAGGAUUAGCUACCAACUGGAGAAAGAAGUUCAGAAGUAGUAUUGGUGCUUUGCCAUGUGCUACUUUACCUGCAGUAAACCUAUAGAGGCCAUUAAAAUCAACCACAGAGCCUUCACUGAGCUCAGACUUUCAGACUGCUCUUGAUAGGAACAGUGCAAGGAAUGGGGGUUGACCAGGGCAUUCAGUUCAUGAGAAGGAGGCUGCCAAACGGUUAUUGUUUAAUCUCCUAAAUGCAAAGCAAAGCGCUGCCUCUAUUGCCCCAUUUUGGACACUUAUCCAUGUUGUUUAUCUUCCUUAAAUGACCUGUGACAGGAAUCUGUGAUUCUCCAAGGACAAACACUGCACAUUCUAGUAUAGUCUGUAUGGGCAUGAUGGAAACUCAGAACAUGCUGUAUUCCCAGCUCCACCAAGGUCUACCAGCUACCCAGAAGUCAUUUGGGAAAUCAGGGAGUCAAACACUACACUGCCACUGGAGAGAAUACCAAUGUGAAAACUCAAUCAGACAUCCAGAAGUCUUGAUGAGCAGCCAGCGGGCAGAGCUGCACUGAGGAAGAGCAGGAUCUGUUUGCUCCUAGGUUUGGUUGUGAUCAUGUAUAAUCCUCUGGGGAAGGGCAGUCUAAUGGCUGAGGUGCUGUCAUGGGACCAGACAAAGUCAGCAUCCAAAUGGAUCAGGUACCUAAACAUCAUUGAAAUGCAUAUUUGGAUUUAACAGAAGACAUGCUUUGUUGCUUCUGAAAAUAGUUCUGGCAACUUUGAACAUCUUGUCAUUGUUUUUUCUGUAUGCCAUAUUCUGAGUUCAGGAUCUCUAGUAUUGCAUAGGAAAUGUUGGAAAAAUGGUAUCCUCUGCUGCUAAGGUAAUGGGAAGAGCCUGCUUUACUUCUUUUUGAUAGUUGGAGUGGGUAUAUUGAUUAUGGCUUUUCUGAUGACUAUAAACUUAGAAAUGAAAGAAAAUGAGUUUGCUGCAGAAGUAGUGUUUAAAGGCACUAUAUAUAUAUCAUUAGUGUCAUAUACUUGCCAGACUCUUAGAUCAACUUUGCAAAGAAAGCUGCAAUGGCCUAAAUGCUGACAACAUGCCUGCUACUCUCUGCUUUGGUUAUUUACAGAAUUCAAAAUUAAGGCCAUAUUUGAACAACAUCCUGUAUCAAAGGUGCAUGCAAUAAAAGUAAUUGGAUGUUUGCUACAUAUAAAUAAAGUUUCUGCCCUGACAAAUCAUUCUAUGACAGCAAUAACUUUCUAGGCAUAGAAGUAUCGACUGCUAGAUGCAUGACCCCUUCUGAAUUAUCACUUGCCUACAUGUAAUAAUGCAGAGAAUGUCGACAGUGUCCAUUGUUUGCCAAUGACUGGAAAAGUAAUUCAUGCUGUAGGAUACCUUUGUGGUUUUCAAGAAAAAAGGCUGGACAGGCUUUAUGCAUUCAUUAAGGAAUAAAUCCAGCACAGCCAAAAAAGGGUGUUGGAUACGUCAGCCUCUGCACUGUUACGUGCCAAUUUAGCCAAUAUCAUGCAAUGCAA
Molecule: long non-coding RNA, 2682 nt
Organism: Phasianus colchicus (ring-necked pheasant)
Lineage: Eukaryota; Metazoa; Chordata; Aves; Galliformes; Phasianidae
Source: RefSeq, a predicted model, not a curated record